This 532-nucleotide ribosomal RNA is filed under the name uncultured eukaryote. Its description in RNAcentral is "SSU rRNA". It matches the Rfam family "Eukaryotic small subunit ribosomal RNA", at positions 21 to 549 of the family's 1831-position model. The record is from RNAcentral.
UAGUCAUAUGCUUGUCUCAAAGAUUAAGCCAUGCAUGUCUAAGUACAUACCUUUGCACGGUGAAACCGCGAAUGGCUCAUUAAAUCAGUUAUGGUUCCUUAGAUCGUUCAUAUUACAUGGAUAACUGUGGUAAUUCUAGAGCUAAUACAUGCAACAAGCUCCGACCUUUUGGGAAGAGCGCUUUUAUUAGACCAAAACCAAUGGGGUCGCAAGAUCCCUUUGUAUGGUGACUCUGGAUAACUUUGUGCUGAUCGCAUGGCCUCGAGCCGGCGACGUAUCUUUCAAGUGUCUGCCCUAUCAACUUUCGAUGGUAAGCGACUUGCCUACCAUGGUUGUAACGGGUAACGGGGAAUCAGGGUUCGAUUCCGGAGAGGGAGCAUGAGAAAUGGCUACCACAUCUACGGAAGGCAGCAGGCGCGCAAAUUACCCACUCCUAGAUCGGGGAGGUAGUGACGAAAAAUAACAAUACCGGACUCAAUGAGGCUCGGUAAUUGAAAUGAGUACAGUUUAAAACCCUUAACGAGGAUCUAUU